RNAcentral lists this long non-coding RNA (3373 nucleotides) under Lathyrus oleraceus (garden pea). RNAcentral's name for it is "Pisum sativum (pea) long non-coding RNA (PSAT_LNC033877)". The record is from RNAcentral. Lineage: Eukaryota; Viridiplantae; Streptophyta; Magnoliopsida; Fabales; Fabaceae.
AAUUACAACAGCCUCUAUGAAAUGGAUAUCAUUUUAAGGAUAUCAUUUGGUAAAAUAUUCAUAAGAAAUUAAUACACCUCUCAAAAAGUUUUAGAAAAUUAUAUUCGACUAUAAUGUAAAUCAUGUUCAUUCAGAUAAAGAUUACAAUGAUGCACACAGUAGUUCUGCCAUGGAUUUUAAAUAAGAAUCAUAGAAUAAAUGAUAUAUCAUAUUCAUAUAUGCAAGAACUGACAAAACAGCAAUUUAAACACAAAGAGAAUGUUACUUACGACAAUCUGUUUCAGUAAAGAUAAUAUUAUUUCUACCAACAAACUUCCUUAGACUCAAGGCUGCGUUAGCCAAAUCGCUGAUAACAUUAUGUGAUAUGAAUAAUAACUUGAGAUAGGAUGCGAAUGGUAAAUACCUUGACAUACACUCUAUUGAUGAGAGGUUUUUAAACUUUUCUCUUCAUCUACUCAACCUGCAGAAACACUCACACAAUCUUUGAAUAUCGUUAGCAUAGACAUGAUAUGCCUUCCGCCAAACCUCAUAAUGCCCUAUAGGAUGAAAAAUUUGACAUUCGAUUCAACAGAAUUUCAAAAUGUGACAUCAGCUUCAAUUCAAUAGAAUUCCAUAGCAACGAUACAAGUCGAUAAUCAAUUAAUUCCAAAUCUUCUUUCAACAUUGCAUCAAUAUCUGAAUCCUUAACUCAAUAAAACACUCCCAGUUCAAAUAGUUCUUCUUACCAUUCAAUUAAUAAGACAGUCUGACAAAUAUUGACCCAAAAACCUUAACUCAGCAAAAGAUUACCAGUUCAAAUAGUUCUUAUUACCCUUCAAUUCAAUGUUUCCUUGGUAAUAAUUGAAACACAAACAAAAUUAGAUUUUCUCCAUAGAAUCUUAACAAGAUCAUUCUACUGAAUUUCGUGUGAAGACAUGAUGUUUCAGCAAAUAAACUUUUUUCAACAACACCAAAUAAAGAGGUCUGAGUCGUAGAAAUAGUGAGCAGCCUACAGGUUGCAUGUGGAUAGACUGCAAAAACAACGAACCAACAUGUCGCAGGCAAAGAACAAGUAGAAACAAACCUUAAACUUGAGACUGACAAACUGAAGGGGUCCCAAUGGAUCCAGGACACGAAAUCGAGCACGGUGCAACAUACACGGUUAAAAACAGACCAAAGAGGGGCGUGCGUGAGUUACAUCCCCCGACGAGUGACGAGAGUGGGGCCGCGUGGAGGUGUUGAAAAUCCUUUUAGAUAAUAGAUUACCUGUAUGGACACAGAUUGAAAUGCACAAUGGCAGUUGAUGAUGUUCACAAAAGACCAACUACUCAUAAAUAGCUCACUAUACCAAUUGUAACAAGGAUUUUAAAUUGAGGAAAUCAAGAUUAUGAAUUAACUUCCGAUGCAGAAUUGAAUAGAAAAUAUUUAACAGACACUAUAUGGUCCACUACUCAGUAAUGUCCUUUGCUACUUAAACUUUUCUCUUUAUUCUACCUAAAUUUGACAAGUAAUAUAUCAUAUUCAAACCAAUGUUCAUUUUACUCACUGCUAAACAUGUCUCGUACUUUCUUUGAUAGAAUUAAGAAACCAAUUCUACAACUGUGUUAAUCACCUGCAAACAACAUUACAGCAGACACUUAGGAGCAUAUAACUAUAUCAUAUUUCUGUGUCUGAUAAAACCCCAACUCUGAGCAUUGUAGCCAAAGUAAUUUUUAGAAUUUGCAAAAGAGAGUAAGAUUAAGAAUACAUCAUAAACUUAGGAUCAUAUAUAUUUAAAGUAGGAUAAAAGGAAAUUCAAACACAUUAUCAUGUUCUCCAAAUAUAAAUUGGAGACAGUUCAAUAAAAGCCAAAAGAUAAUUGGAAGUUUCUAAGAGUUGAAAUAAAAAUAAAACCAGUUAUAAAACAGACACAUAAUAGACUUUCAAUAUAAUAUUCAUAAUGGUUUAUUAAUUUUUCAUACACUUGAUAAUCCUAAUUUUGAUAUGAGGGAUUGACAACUCACUUUUUAUCACUGAAAGUAAAAGUAUCCUAAUAAACACAAUCAUAAAUCUCUUAUCUCUUAUGUGAAAACAAGUAAGCUAACUAAUGAUUUCUUGCUCCAAUCGAAAUGAGACUUUCUUUAUAAAUUAUUAUUUUAGAAUUAUGCGCUCCUUUAACACCGUCGAGUUCCUCAAUCAUUUGGGUACAUAAAUCAAAGCAGAUUGGAUCUCCUCCAUCUUCCUUUGCGAAGAAUAUAUCACCAUUCUUCCCCGCUCCAAUACAAUACUUAAUAUCGUCGGACAAGGGUCCAACAACAAAGAUUUUAGUCCAAGAUUCCUUCACACCCAAUUUGCCUAAAAUUGAUAUGUGAAAAGUAGUUGUAUACGAUAAAAUGGAAGCAAUGGAUCCAUUUAACAACACCAACGCAUGGCGCACCCAACUAUUGGGAUCUAUGUCUAAGGGGAUGAGUGUGGGUAUGAUUGUGGUAAAACAAACCUCAUUGGUCAAGUCAAAUGACACCACAUACUCUUCAUUGUCAUCUCCAUAAUAGUUAGAGAGCCAAUGACACAUUCCAUCCAAGUACAGUAGAUCAUUAUUACAGUUGCCACCUUGCCAACAACAAGCAGGAAGGACGAGAUCAACUUUCCUCCAAGAAUUACAUACUAGGCUAUAUACCUCCCAAAAGGGAACCACAGUUCCCCACAGAAUCUUCCCUUGCACAUUCAUGGCGGGAAGGUGGAAGAGCAAUUGUCAUUCAUAAUCAUAUUGGAACAAAACCUACAUUCCUAAUAUCUUAUAGUCGUCACUAAAAGGGUCAUAACCAAAUCCAUGAAUAAACUUAAUAUAAGCCUGUAAGGUGGGUAGAGACUCGACGGGCUGGAGAAACUUUGAAUUCUUCGUAGCUGGAUUCCACAUACAAUGGCGUCAUCACUAAUCGUAAAGACAUAGAUUCCAUUUACUACACAGAACCAAUACACAAAAUCCAGGGUCCUCUUGUUGAAAUGGAUUUGGAAAGUCCAAUUUAACUUUAUUCUCAAACUCUCACAGAAAGUGAUCCAGAGUGAAACUAACGUAAGUACGAUUGUGAUUGCAAACAAUUUGAUGAAGGAUGAUUGAUGUUCAUAUGUAUAAGAGUGAGGAAUGGAUGUGAAAUUAUAGCGAAACAUGAUCAUAAAAUUAGGGUUUUCAAACAAAACAGACCAUGUUUUGUUUACACAUCCAAAACGCUUCAAAGAUUUUUAAGGAAGUUUUGAUAGAAUGGAGGAAAGCCAGAUCAUCAGGUAUGUAAAUUUCUUACCUUCUCACUUACAGAUUUCGCCAUCUUCGAUCACAGAGCAAAAGAAACAUGAUUGAAACGUCCUCGUUGCAACCCAAAACCUCUUUCGAUCGUCACCAAGGUCAAUUUGACAAUUU